Molecule: ribosomal RNA, 292 nt
Filed under: uncultured bacterium
Lineage: Bacteria
Description: partial 16S ribosomal RNA
Rfam family: Bacterial small subunit ribosomal RNA
Source: RNAcentral
GUGUCAGCCGCCGCGGUAAUACGUAGGGGGCAAGCGUUGUCCGGAAUUAUUGGGCGUAAAGCGCGUGUAGGCGGCUUGGUAAGUCCGAUGUGAAACCUCGGGGCUCAACCCCGAGCCUGCAUUGGAUACUGCCUCGCUUGAGUCCGGGAGGGGAGAGCGGAAUUCCUAGUGUAGCGGUGAAAUGCGCAGAUAUUAGGAAGAACACCGGUGGCGAAGGCGGCUCUCUGGAACGGUACUGACGCUGAGACGCGAAAGCGUGGGGAGCAAACAGGAUUAGAUACCCCAGUAGUCC